UGCGAAGUAAGGGCGGAGAUUGAAUGCAUGAGAUAUGCUGGUGUUGGUUAUGUCAGAUGAAUUUUGAGACUCGACUAAGAAGGUGUUAACGGAGAAUGGGAGAGUCAAAUGAAGUACUCUUAUCUGGGACUUUACUUGAAGUAUGUUUUCGAGGACGAAAACUCUUUUAGUGGGGGAGAGUUGUAACACCCCAUAAUUUCAGUUUAUUAAUUUAAUUUGGAUUUAAAUUAAAUAAUUGGAAUUUUAGUAUUUUUAUUUGGAAUUAUUUGGAAAAUGGUGAAAUAUUGACAUUUGGGCCUAGAGUGGUGAUUAGCAGAAGAGGGGGUGUUGACUAAGCAAGCCCAUUAUAAUAUUUAUUUUAUUUUUCAUAAAAUAAGGAAUUUGGGGAAAAGAGGAAGGAGAAGCAGGAACUGAGUCUGAAGAAAGGAGAACACGUGAAAGUGAGAAGAGCCAAAGGGGAAGAGAACCUUCGAAGUUCGACUCUGAGAUUAAGGAUGUAGCGGCGUCUUGAUUGGGUGAAGAUAGCUUAUAGGCUAGCCCUUAGUCCGUGUCGAGUCAUGCUCUGAAUGUAACACUGGGGAACGCUAGUUUAGAGACGAGUUAUUAUGUCGGUCUUUGUUGUUUAUAAUUGUAUUAGAGAACUUGCAUGAAUGAUGAUGAUUAUGCAAUGUUAUGAAUUAUAAUCCGCUGUGUUGAACAUGAAUUGUAUUUAUGUUAAAUGGUUCCUCGUGUGGCAUGACAAAUGACUAUAGUAUUUUAUGUUAAAGAAGUUGUGA
This is a long non-coding RNA of Vicia villosa (hairy vetch), 776 nucleotides long. RefSeq lists it as uncharacterized. Lineage: Eukaryota; Viridiplantae; Streptophyta; Magnoliopsida; Fabales; Fabaceae. The record is from RefSeq and is a predicted model, not a curated record. The transcript is spliced from 2 exons.